This is a long non-coding RNA of Lytechinus variegatus (green sea urchin), 995 nucleotides long. RefSeq lists it as uncharacterized. Lineage: Eukaryota; Metazoa; Echinodermata; Echinoidea; Temnopleuroida; Toxopneustidae. The record is from RefSeq and is a predicted model, not a curated record. The transcript is spliced from 2 exons.
GGAAUAAUUUCAAGACGAAUAAUAUGAAAUUUGACCAAGAUCUUCUCACCAGUCGAUAACGUAGCAGACGUGUUAUCAUGAUAUAUUUAUCCGCGUGUGACGCGGCUCUUGCAAAAAACACAGUUGGUUGCGGAAUUGCUUUGUGCCGACCGGCCACCCGCUCCGGGGCAGCUAGCUGUCGAGCUGCCGGACCGCAUACCUUUCAUGCUGUCUUGAACUCACUUGCGAAUUGCAUUUGUAUGUUUGACGGUGACCUCUAGCGUAAUUAAAUAUACAGGUAGAAAACAACUCGGGAGGCCGAGAAGAAUAGUAAGUUGAUUCAAGAUUGUUCUGUGGAAUGAGCCAUGAGUGGAAAUGAUCCACAGGAUAUAAAAAUGGUGUCAAAGACAAAAGGAAAGAAGAAAAAGACGUUAGGGGAUUGCUGCAUGGUCAUGAACUGCGGUUCGACCAUAGAGAUAUAUAUGGGGAUGGUCUGGGGGUCGACAUACCAGAACACUUCCCCACUACAGUGCAGUACACACUCAAUGCCUGGGUGCAUGCAGCGCGCGCAGAGCUGAGCUAGCCGCCGGAAUUACUUUCCAGCUACUCACUUGAUGGAACAUCGUGAUAAAAUAAAUGAGAAAUAGUGAAAAUAUCAUUCAAUAACUCACUGUUUUCAAUCUUUCAUCAUGAUUUAAGAGUUCAUGAUAGUUAUUCAUACUGUUCUUUAUACAGGUAAAGUAAAGAUUUGUACAUAUGAUUCCUAUUUGUUUGAUUUGAGUUGCUUUGACAAAAAAUUGUAAAAUCAUCUUUCACUCUCUGCAUAGCAUUUCUGUAUUACACCCAGGCACCUCUUACACUAAAUUCCCUCCGGUGACGUCACACUCAGAGUGAUUUUUCUGUACACUCGUCUCUCGGGCUCUGACAGGUGGCUAAUUUCAUAGACUUUCAAAGCAAAAUAUCGAGAAGGCAGAAGAUUUUUGUGACAUGCUAUUUGUUUGAACAACUGAUAUAUA